This 72-nucleotide transfer RNA is filed under the name Desmophyllum pertusum. RNAcentral's name for it is "tRNA-Arg". Lineage: Eukaryota; Metazoa; Cnidaria; Anthozoa; Scleractinia; Caryophylliidae. The record is from RNAcentral.
GGCACAGUGGCCUAAUGGCUAGCGCGCUGGACUCCGGACCGAGCGGUCUGGGUUCGAGCCCUGGCCGGGUCA